Molecule: ribosomal RNA, 289 nt
Filed under: uncultured archaeon SYA_2000_21
Lineage: Archaea
Description: partial 16S ribosomal RNA
Rfam family: Archaeal small subunit ribosomal RNA
Source: RNAcentral
GUAGCUGGCUGAGGUAGUCCCCUUGUUUAAAUCCGCCCGAAUUAAUCGGUUGGAUUGCGGCGGAUACUGCUCGGGCUAGGGGACGAGAGAGGCAGACGGUAUUUCUGGGUAGGGGUGAAAUCCUAUAAUCCCAGGAGGACCACCAGUGGCGAAGGCUGUGCUGCUAGAACGCGCCCGACGGUGAGGGAUGAAAGCUGGGGGAGCGAACCGGAUUAGAUACCCGGGUAGUCCCAGCUGUAAACGAUGCAGACUAUGUGUUUGGACGGCCACGUGCCGUUCUAGUGCCGCA